UUGGUGCGCAUUUAAUACGCGGAUAACUUAAGAGUUGUAGUUUGUUUGUAUCGCUGCAGUUUGUUGGCAGUGGAUACCCAAGAUAGUGUAGAAUGUAUUUACGCUAAUGCUUAGAUGCCAAGCUUAUUUUUACAGCAGUGUUUAGGCUGUUCCGGACUGUCGGGUGCCGUUGAGGUUGACGGUGGACCCAGAUUACUGUAUUUGCAUCAGAUUGUGCCGAGA
RNAcentral lists this long non-coding RNA (222 nucleotides) under Ananas comosus (pineapple). Its description in RNAcentral is "long non-coding RNA (ACOM_LNC042705)". Lineage: Eukaryota; Viridiplantae; Streptophyta; Magnoliopsida; Poales; Bromeliaceae. The record is from RNAcentral.